GGGGAAUAUUGCACAAUGGGCGCAAGCCUGAUGCAGCAACGCCGCGUGGGGGAUGACGGCCUUCGGGUUGUAAACCUCUUUUAGUAGGGAAGAAGCGAAAGUGACGGUACCUGCAGAAAAAGCACCGGCUAACUACGUGCCAGCAGCCGCGGUAAUACGUAGGGUGCAAGCGUUGUCCGGAAUUAUUGGGCGUAAAGAGCUCGUAGGCGGUUUGUCGCGUCUGCUGUGAAAUCCCGAGGCUCAACCUCGGGCCUGCAGUGGGUACGGGCAGACUAGAGUGCGGUAGGGGAGAUUGGAAUUCCUGGUGUAGCGGUGGAAUGCGCAGAUAUCAGGAGGAACACCGAUGGCGAAGGCAGAUCUCUGGGCCGCUACUGACGCUGAGGAGCGAAAGCAUGGGGAGCGAAC
Molecule: ribosomal RNA, 405 nt
Filed under: uncultured bacterium
Lineage: Bacteria
Description: bacterial SSU rRNA
Rfam family: Bacterial small subunit ribosomal RNA
Source: RNAcentral